GACGAACGCUGGCGGCGUGCUUAACACAUGCAAGUCGAGCGGGUAAGGCCCUUUCGGGGGUACGACGAGCGGCGAACGGGUGAGUAACACGUGGGUGACCUGCCCUCAGCUCUGGGAUAAGCCUGGGAAACCGGGUCUAAUACCGGAUAUGACUCCAUGACGCAUGUUGUGGGGUGGAAAGCCUUGUGCGGCUGAGGAUGGGCCCGCGGCCUAUCAGCUUGUUGGUGGGGNGAUGGCCUACCAAGGCGACGGCGGGUAGCCGGCCUGAGAGGGCGACCGGCCACACUGGGACUGAGACACGGCCCAGACUCCUACGGGAGGCAGCAGUGGGGAAUCUUGCGCAAUGGGCGAAAGCCUGACGCAGCGACGCCGCGUGAGGGAUGACGGCCUGGUGUAAC
Molecule: ribosomal RNA, 398 nt
Filed under: uncultured bacterium
Lineage: Bacteria
Description: bacterial SSU rRNA
Rfam family: Bacterial small subunit ribosomal RNA
Source: RNAcentral